This 497-nucleotide ribosomal RNA is filed under the name uncultured bacterium. RNAcentral describes it as "partial 16S ribosomal RNA". It matches the Rfam family "Bacterial small subunit ribosomal RNA", at positions 28 to 507 of the family's 1533-position model. The record is from RNAcentral.
GAUGAACGCUGGCGGCGUGCCUAAUACAUGCAAGUCGAGCGAACGGACGAGAAGCUUGCUUCUCUGAUGUUAGCGGCGGACGGGUGAGUAACACGUGGACAACCUACCUAUAAGACUGGGAUAACUGCGGGAAACCGGAGCUCAUACCGGAUAAUAUUUUGAACCGCAUGGUUCAAAAGUGAAAGACGGGCUUGCUGUGACUGAUAGCUGGAUCCGCGAUGCAUGAGCUAGUUGGUAAGGUAACGGCUUACCAAGGCAACGAUGCCUAGCCGACCUGAGAGGGUGAUCGGGUACACUGGAACUGAGACGCGGUCCAGGCUCCGACGGGAGGCAGCAGUAGGGACGCUUGCGCAAAGGGGGAAAGCCUGACGGAGCAGCGCCGCGUGGGUGCUGAAGGGCUGCGGAUCGGAAGACUGUGUUAUGAUGGAAGAACAUAUGUGCAAGGAACUGUGCACAUCUUGACGGUACCUAAUCAGAAAGCCACGGCUAACUACGUG